This 251-nucleotide ribosomal RNA is filed under the name uncultured prokaryote. Its description in RNAcentral is "partial 16S rRNA". It matches the Rfam family "Bacterial small subunit ribosomal RNA", at positions 525 to 775 of the family's 1533-position model. The record is from RNAcentral.
ACGGAGGAUGCGAGCGUUAUCCGGAUUUAUUGGGUUUAAAGGGUGCGUAGGUGGACUGUUUAGUCAGUGGUGAAAUGCUGAUGCUCAACGUUAGCAUUGCCGUUGAAACUGACAGUCUUGAGAGUGAUUGAGGCAGGCGGAAUGUGUGGUGGGGGGGAAAAAAAAAAACAACCCACACAGAACCACGAUGGCGAGGGGAUCUUACAAAGCCACAACUGACACUGAAGCACGAAAGCGUGGGGAUCAAACAG